GCUAACACCGUGCAGGCCGGAGCGGGAAUACGGAGGGUGCAAGCGUUAAUCGGAAUUACGGGGCGUAAAGCGAACGCAGGCGGUCUGUCAAGUCGGAUGUGAAAUCCCCGGGCUCAACCUGGGAACUGCAUCGGAAACUGGCAGGCUAGAGUCUUGUAGAGGGGGGUAGAAUUCCAGGUGUAGCGGUGAAAUGCGUAGAGAUCUGGAGGAAUACCGGUGGCGAAGGCGGCCCCCUGGACAAAGACUGACGCUCAGGUGCGAAAGCGUGGGGAGCAAACAGGAUUAGAUACCCGAGUAGUC
Molecule: ribosomal RNA, 300 nt
Filed under: uncultured Methanoplanus sp.
Lineage: Archaea; Methanobacteriati; Methanobacteriota; Methanomicrobia; Methanomicrobiales; Methanomicrobiaceae
Description: bacterial SSU rRNA
Rfam family: Bacterial small subunit ribosomal RNA
Source: RNAcentral